Oryza sativa Japonica Group (Japanese rice) is the source of this 1026-nucleotide long non-coding RNA. RefSeq lists it as uncharacterized. The record is from RefSeq and is a predicted model, not a curated record. Lineage: Eukaryota; Viridiplantae; Streptophyta; Magnoliopsida; Poales; Poaceae.
CUCGGGCUAGGACGGCGGCGGCAACCACGAGCGCCGCCUGGGAGACCUGGCAGAGAUUAACCGGGAAAAUGUGAGCUUGGAUCUCACCUUGUAAUUCUCCAUGAGAAUUGAGAAAUGCGUGAAUUAGCGUUCUUGCUUUCUUGCAGCCGUCAAACGAUCCUCGCGCCGCCGCCGCCGCCGACGCGUUGACGAGGCGGGGUCUCAGCUGGCGGUGCCCCCGAGGCCGAUGCCGCCGCCUACCCCUCUCACCGCACCACCUUCCUCUUCACGCGCCGGCUCGCGCUAAGGCUGCUGCCGUUCGUCGCUGUUUCCCGCGGCGGAGGUUGGUGGAGGUCGUCGCUGUUUCAAGCUCAUCCUCCCUCUCUCCUGGCGGCGGAGCAGCAGUGCACGUGGCGGCAGCCAACAGCUUGAGCGCGCAUGAGGAGCUAGCUAGCUACUCGCCAUGGCGGUAGCCAACCAAGAGGCCAUGGCGCCGAGGACCGGCAACAUCGCCACCGCCAACCCCGGCUGCCCCAACUGGUACGCCGUCCUCGUCAUCGACCAGCCCUCCAGUACGGCCGCCGUCGCGGCGCCGCCCUCCUCUCCCGCCUCACCCCGGCGGCCUCCUCCCCAGCUACAUCUUCCUCUCCUCUCUGUGUUGGUGCAGGGAAGGAGCCAAGGAGGUAGAAGAUACCCCUAACAAGUGGGCCCCAUCUGAGGAAGGGAGAGAAAAGGUAAAAGAUAGAUGACGUGGCAUGCUGACACGUGGGAUCCACGCUGACUCAGCCGCCACGUAGACCAAAACCGGGGUAAAAACCACCGAAGUAUCUCGAGUGACCGGUUUUGUAUAGUUGAGAGAUCUUAAAUAUCUGGUUUUAUGGUUCAAGGACGUUUUUUAUCCCGAUGAUAAGUGUACUUUUUCCUAAGCCACUGUCAAGUGUCAACUCUUGGCUCUCAAGCCUCACUUAGCUAGUACUCCCGCCAUCUCAUUUAUUUAACGACGGUUAGUUCAAUUUAAAUAGGAAGUAAUAAUUAAUUACUCCUUCA